GAUCAUGGCUCAGGACGAACGCUGGCGGCGUGCUUAACACAUGCAAGUCGAACGAGAGGACAAGAGAAGCUUGCUUCUUUUGGAAUCGAGUGGCAAACGGGUGAGUAACACGUAAACAACCUGCCUUCAGGAUGGGGACAACAGACGGAAACGACUGCUAAUACCGAAUACGCUUGGAAGACCGCAUGAUUUUCCAAGGAAAGGGUGGCCUCUACCUGUAAGCUAUCGCCUGAAGAGGGGUUUGCGU
RNAcentral lists this ribosomal RNA (247 nucleotides) under uncultured bacterium. RNAcentral's name for it is "partial 16S ribosomal RNA". It matches the Rfam family "Bacterial small subunit ribosomal RNA", at positions 15 to 236 of the family's 1533-position model. The record is from RNAcentral.